AAUGGGCGAAAGCCUGAUCCAGCCAUGCCGCGUGAGUGAUGAAGGCCCUAGGGUUGUAAAGCUCUUUCGCCAGGGAAGAUAAUGACGGUACCUGGUAAAGAAACCCCGGCUAACUCCGUGCCAGCAGCCGCGGUAAUACGGAGGGGGUUAGCGUUGUUCGGAAUUACUGGGCGUAAAGCGCACGUAGGCGGAUUAAUAAGUCAGGGGUGAAAUCCCGAGGCUCAACCUCGGAACUGCCUUUGAUACUGUUAGUCUUGAGUUCGAGAGAGGUGAGUGGAAUUCCGAGUGUAGAGGUGAAAUUCGUAGAUAUUCGGAGGAACACCAGUGGCGAAGGCGGCUCACUGGCUCGAUACUGACGCUGAGGUGCGAAAGCGUGGGGAGCAAACAGGAUU
Molecule: ribosomal RNA, 392 nt
Filed under: uncultured Gammaproteobacteria bacterium
Lineage: Bacteria; Pseudomonadati; Pseudomonadota; Gammaproteobacteria
Description: bacterial SSU rRNA
Rfam family: Bacterial small subunit ribosomal RNA
Source: RNAcentral